Molecule: long non-coding RNA, 3322 nt
Organism: Melospiza melodia melodia
Lineage: Eukaryota; Metazoa; Chordata; Aves; Passeriformes; Passerellidae
Exons: 3
Source: RefSeq, a predicted model, not a curated record
GCAACUUGUCUCUCUAUUCCUUCUACCAUAGUAGUAAUGCAUUAUGUAUCAUAUAUCAAUAAAUCCAGCCUUCUGAUCAUGAACCAAGAUUCUCGUCUCUCUCUCACCCUGAAGUCCCUCAUCAGGUCGCUGUAAUAGCCUAGUGAGUUCCUUUUAUAAGACGUGAGUUCCUGACACAAUUAGACUUAUACUUACCCCGUCCCCCGCAUAUUGGUGCCCCGUGUGAGGAGACCCCUGUCCGAGGACGUAGAACAGAAGAAAAAAAAAAAGAAAAAUCGCGGAAGUACCAGCCACAGAGACCCAAGUGUUAACAAGGAGGACACUGUAUCAUCUCUCCCGCGGAAGCCAAGAAAAUUGUGCUAGAAUUGAGUUCCUGCCAAAAACGUCAAACCAUAUUGCACUUCAGAACCUGUUGUCAAGUCCAAAACCAAAGAAGCAAGUACGCAGACGUGAACCGAAUUGAAAGAUCCCGAGUCUUGCCUGACGCCUCUUGUGCCUGACGUUCUUUGUGCAUCAGUAGAACCCAUGAACUCUGAUUUUGUGCCAAUGUUAUUUAUAAGUAUGCUAGUUAAAUGCUAAAUAGUUGUUUAACAAAGCUAAUUUUUAGCUGAAAAUUUAAGUUAUUGUUUUUGUUUAGAAAGAAUUCUGCCAAAACUUAGUUCUUGAAAGAGAUAGAGCAGAAUCAAAUGGUAUACUUGUUUUGUUUGAUUUUAAUUGUUUUUUGUCGUGCAAAUUUGCCUGUAGAUAAACCAAAAACGAAUGUUUGGGUGACCUUAGCCAAGGCUGCCAGAUCAGAUACUAUAUGUCUGUCUAAUUCAGAACCAGAAAAGCCUUUUUCAACCUGUUUGGUUGGUGUGCCAGUGAAAGAGUUGCCUUUAGUCAAAAAACAAUCUAAUGGUAAACCAAGUAGAAUUGACAAUAGAAACAGUCCUUCCUUCAAUUAGAACAUUUAGUCCAAAAAACUUCUCAGGGCAGCAUCUGAACCUCAAGAAUUAGAAAUCCUUAGUUCUUUGACCAUAAAUUUUUGCUUUACUUUCAUGACUCAUACCUAGCGAAAAGGUGAUCCCCCAAAGUUCAGUGUUAUUCCUCAUUAUUUUGCAUAUAAAAAUUUGAGUUUUUAGUGUAAUGUUUCAAACAGUUAAGAUGUGUUUCCAGAGACAGAUCAAUAUCCACAGCAUUUACCAAAAGAGUAUUAGUUCAUUUGCAGAGACAGAGCUUAGCAAAGCAUUCCAGCCCACCUUGAAAGUGGCCCUUGUAGCAUUGGUAUGCUCACCAUAAUUGCCCCCACUGCCAAAGCAGUGAUGAAAAAAAAACAAAGAAAAACAAGAGCUGUUCCUCAUUAUGAUGAGAACUGUCAGAGUGAUUUUAUGCCUUAGAAUGCCGCCAAAAAAGUUUCAGCAGGUAUAUUUUUACCCCAAUUGGCUUCAGCUGUAGCAUUGAGACAAUUAGAUCGAGUUAGAUGUUAGCUGAGCAAACAAGCUAAUGCCACAUCCUCCGCAAUCAGUGAUAUGUUGACCGAUGUUGAUAGUAUUAGACAUGCUACUCUUCAAAACAGAGCAGCCAUUAAUUUUCUUUUACUGGCACAAAGACAUAGUUGUGAAGAAUUUGAAAAAUUGUGUUGUAUGAAUUUGUCUGAUCAUUCUGAAUCAAUUCACAAAAGCAUUCAAAAAUUAAAAGAUCUGACAGCCCAAAUUAAAGAAGAUGAAAGUUCCUAGUUAGAUGAUUUGUAUCAAAAUUAGAGUUUUGCACCUUAGCUAAAGCAACUUUGCAAGAUAAGCCUUUACAUAUUAAGUGUUCUAAUACUGAUAUUGAUAGUAGUACCUUGUAUACUCUUCUUGUGUUCAGCGAAUAAUGAACAAAACAGUCCGAGAAGUUUUUGUCAUUCAAGCAAGAGAAUUAAGAAUUAGAAGCACAGAGAGUGUACAAAAUCUCACAAAAGCAGUAGAUUAAAGUAUUGACAUGAACAAAAGUUUUGAAUUAAAGCCUUAGAAUCGACCAGAGUUUUUCAAACGAUAACUUGUGACUGUUGGCAAAUGUGAUUCAUAUCUCUUUCAGAGAUUGAGUCUUCACAGCAUUAAGUUGCUGUGCCGUAAUAUAGCAAUGCUUCAAUUUAGUGAAAAUAAGUCUUCAACAGAUAAUAAGCAGAAAUUUUGCAAUAGAGCUAUGAAACGCAAGUAGCAAGUGACAAAAAAAUGAAAACUUCUGAGUCAAACAGAGAGGGGGAAAUGUUAAAAUCCAUAAGGUUAGAAGAUUUUUAAGAAAUGGUUAAAAGAAGCAUGUAGGCCUUAGAUUGGAGUUUUGUUAGCAUUGCAGAAAAGUUUCCCAUGCAAGCAGAGAAGUUUCCCAAGCAGUAGAGCAUACGUGACAAAUAACAAUAAGCCUCUGUAGAAUUGGCUUUAAGAUGGCAACAAGGUUAUUUAAUGUAUAUCUUUAGAAGGUUAGCAUGAAUAGAACUUUGUUCUUUGUCUCUUAUGAAUUAGUCUUUGUUUUAACUAUCAUUGCAUGUGCUUUGUGGGAUUAGAUAGAAUGCUUGUCAAUACGUGUUUUCUGUGUCUGAUUGGCUGAAUUCUAGUCUGAGACGAUUUUAUGUAUUUCUGUACCAGCCCUGCUGGAGGAGACAUUUUUUUGGUGUAGAUCAGUGAGCUGUCAUGUCUCCAUUUUGUAUUUUGAAACUGAUGUGCUAGAAAUAAAAGCAAAAAUCUCUUCACUAAUCUAGUUACAAUGUUAUCCAUAUUUAGAUAUUUUGCCGCAGCCUAGUGAGUUCCUUUUUUAAGACGUAAGUUCCUCACACAAUUAGACUUAUACUUACCCCAUCCCCCGUAUUCUGAACUCCUAUUUGGAUCCACUCUUGAUAUUUCCAUAAUUUCCUCAUAUCACAAAAUAAAUUAGGGCCCCAAUUUGGAUCCUCAAUUGGGAAAUUCACAUCUAAAUUCCCUGUUACUAGCCCAUUUCUGAUAUCCUCUCUUGCUCUCUCUUUGGCUGCCUUAAGUACCAUCUCUUUCUCAGUAGAAUCCAUCAAAGUAUCUGAUAUUAUUUGUAUGUCAUCCAAGUCAGGAUUUGAGUUUUUAUAACCAUUUUUACUACUCGUGCCAUUUUAUCAGGAUUUUCUCUAUAAGUUCCGACUGACUGUUUCCAAAUAACUAAAUCUGCAGGGGAAAAAGGCACUUUUACAAAUACUGGCCCUUCCCCUGCUACACCUUGCUGCAAGGAGGCAACCACAGUCCGUUUUUGUCUGCCUUUAUCUUUUUUAAAUCAACUCCUGGUUUUGUGGGCUAUUGGGGUCACUGAUUCAUUACCAUUGCUAUCUGUUUCUCUUGCAUCC